RNAcentral lists this ribosomal RNA (434 nucleotides) under uncultured Lachnospiraceae bacterium. RNAcentral's name for it is "partial 16S ribosomal RNA". It matches the Rfam family "Bacterial small subunit ribosomal RNA", at positions 341 to 792 of the family's 1533-position model. The record is from RNAcentral. Lineage: Bacteria; Bacillati; Bacillota; Clostridia; Lachnospirales; Lachnospiraceae.
ACGGGAGGCAGCAGUGGGGGAUAUUGCACAAUGGGGGAAUCCCUGAUGCAGAGACGCCGCGUGAGUGAAGAAGUAUUUCGGUAUGUAAAGCUCUAUCAGCAGGGAAGAUAAUGACGGUACCUGACUAAGAAGCCCCGGCUAACUACGUGCCAGCAGCCGCGGUAAUACGUAGGGGGCAAGCGUUAUCCGGAUUUACUGGGUGUAAAGGGUGUGUAGGCGGGAAGGCAAGUCAGAUGUGAAAACCAUGGGCUCAACCCAUGGCCUGCAUUUGAAACUGUCUUUCUUGUGAGUCGGAUGGGUAAUCGGAAUUCCCGGUGUAGCGGUGAAAUGCGCAGAGAUCGGGAGGAACAUCAGUGGCGAAGGCGGAUUACUGGACGACAACUGACGCUGAGACACGAAAGCGUGGGGAGCAAACAGGAUUAGAUACCCUGGUA